This 450-nucleotide ribosomal RNA is filed under the name uncultured bacterium. Its description in RNAcentral is "bacterial SSU rRNA". It matches the Rfam family "Bacterial small subunit ribosomal RNA", at positions 340 to 785 of the family's 1533-position model. The record is from RNAcentral.
UACGGGAGGCAGCAGUGGGGAAUAUUGCACAAUGGGCGAAAGCCUGAUGCAGCUAUGCCGCGUGUAUGAAGAAGGCCUUAGGGUUGUAAAGUACUUUCAGCAGGGAGGAAAGAAAUAAAACUAAUAAUUUUAUUUUGUGACGUUACCUGAAGAAGAAGCACCGGCUAACUCCGUGCCAGCAGCCGCGGUAAUACGGAGGGUGCAAGCGUUAAUCAGAAUUACUGGGCGUAAAGAGCGCGUAGGUGGUUUUUUUAAGUCAGAUGUGAAAUCCCUAGGCUUAACCUAGGAACUGCAUUUUGAAACUGAAAAACUAGAGUAUCGUAGAGGGAGGUAGAAUUCUAGGUGUAGCGGUGAAAUGCGUAGAUAUCUGGAGACUCUGUGCGAAGCGCUCUAAACGAUACUGACACUGAGGUCGCGAAAGCGGUGGGAGACAAACGAGGUAUUAGACUA